AUGUGGCGAUUCCGCUGCGUCCUCCACAGGCAGCCCUCCCAGGCGGGCCAGUCAGCAUCCCGUCCACCCCCAACCCCCUCCCCGCCUGCCUCGCUCAAAAGACUCCGAUCGCUCCACAGGCCCGGAUCCCCGUCGCCUUCAGUUUCGGGCCAGCAGGACCCUCGCCAGCCGAAAAAUCCAGGGCGCGAUGCCUUGCGGUCAAAACAGGUCUCUGGGAUGCGUCCUCCGGGAGCAUCCGAAGCCCUUGCGAAAACACGGGGCCUCGGAUCUGGCCCUUCUGCGGGCGCGCCCGGGGCCGCGGGGGUCCAUUCCCUCCCCGAAGGGAGACGCGUCCCUGCGGGAGAGGCAUCCCCCGUCUCGCCCCGGCUCACCUGGCGGAUCGGGGCGGGCCUCCAUCGCCGGCCAUGGAAGCUGCGGCGAAUGAGCGCCCCGCACCCCCUGGACAGGAUGAGGGCGGCAGCCAUUGCUGGCACCGUCCGAGGACGGGUGAGGGGGAAGAUCCGGGUGGGCGGCCGGCUGCAGCUGUCGGACGAAGGCCCGGAGGUGGGAGGGAAGGAAGGGAUCAGAAGGGAAGCGCAAAUCCCCGGCGGCUCCUCCUCGCCAUCUGCCCACAGAGGAGAGGAGGACGAGGAGGGGGGGCGGCGGUGGCGGCGGCACGGAGAGGAUCAUUGCCAACGUGGCUCUGCUGGAGCCGGAUUCAGCCGCAACCCUCCCGACGAAGAGCCAAAGACCGGCUCCUUGCUCGGCUCCCUCUGGGCGGUGCCACCCGGCUUGAGAUGCCGCUAUGCCUACUCACCCGGUGCAAUACAGCGACAUGCAAUGCAAUGCCGCCACGUGAAGUCCACCAACCACGAAAGGCACUCCCUCGCCGGCCGAGGCGGCCCUGCUCCCGGCUUAAAAAAGCUUUCCGAGGUCCCGCCCCUUCGGGGGACCGCGCUGAGACCAAUCGGCGUCUCGGUGGCCAUCGAUUGGCCGCCAAGCCGGAAGGAACGCGGGCCGGAGAGAGAAGAGGGAGGGGAGGAGUCGAGUGACUUUUGA
Molecule: long non-coding RNA, 1038 nt
Filed under: Pogona vitticeps (central bearded dragon)
Lineage: Eukaryota; Metazoa; Chordata; Lepidosauria; Squamata; Agamidae
Description: lncRNA (ENSPVIG00000016795.1)
Source: RNAcentral